Molecule: non-coding RNA, 1489 nt
Organism: Biomphalaria pfeifferi
Lineage: Eukaryota; Metazoa; Mollusca; Gastropoda; Planorbidae
Source: the annotation of a GenBank genome assembly
UUUGUCAAAUUUGCCUUUUUAUUGCAACGAGAGAACACAAGUAUUAAUUGCAAGAAACAACAAGAAAAAAAUCUAUUUUGCUGGCAAUGUGCCUCACGAGAAGAUAAUGUGCAGUGAGUCAGCACUUUAAGUGAGACAUUGAGAAACAAAUCCAUUGUAUUGGCCUUAAAACAUUUUUUUUAAACAUUUUUUUCUAAUAUAACUCAAUUUUUUUUUAUUUACAAAAAAAGAAAUUCCUAAAGUUUUUAACGGAACAAAAACAUUGGUUUAUUUAACAUGCACAUAAAAACAUCUGCAGUAAAAGCCUUUCAAAACUUGAACUUAAUCACUGAUUUAUUAAGGAAUCAAUCCAAAUUAUCUUUGAAUAACUCCAAACAAUAAGCUCGGAAGUGAAAGACAUAAGAUAUUUAUAUUUAUUUCCUAGUUGACAAGACGAAAGAGUUAAAAUGUCUUUAUUUCUAAAACGUAUUUGUUUUCCCCCCAUCUUCUGGUAUUGUAAUCCUUCAAACACUAGUAUAUAUGUCAGUGCAAAUACUAGAAGAAACAAGAACAGUGCGCAUAUGUCAUUAUACACUAUCACAGAUAUUUAAUUGAUAAGCAAUUCUGUUUAUGUCAGGGAAGGUAAUUGUUUUUUUUUAAGUUUAAUAAAUAACUCAAAUUCUCACUAAGAUUCCCUGUCUGUGUAGAAGUCACUCAAACAAUAUCUUUAAAGAUCAAAGGAAAUUUUAAAAAUCUUUUUUUUUUUAAAUUGCGCGCAGCGGAUAAUUGGAGGAUUUCAUAGAGAUUCGCCAUUGCUCAGCACCUCAUGCAUGUUUGAAUAUUUAUUGUUUGAGAACAAAACUGAAUUUUAAUAAGCAGGUGCUAUAUAGUCUUUACGUGAUUGUAAUACAAUAUUCAAGGCAAUGAACUGCUAGUUAGUAGAAGUAGAAUAAUAUGAAAUAAACAGAAACAUAAUUCAAAAUGAAUCAUUGUGGCAGCUUUUAUUGUUGUCAUAGUUACUCGUUGAAAGUCAUAAUUCAAUUCACCCAUUAAUAAAAAUCAAUAGAGCUAAAUAAUUGAAAAGACCUAGAAAUUGUCACAGAAGAAUUCAGAAGUUUCACAAUUGUAUUUUCAUGCACAUGACAGCUCAAUAAAACCCAAGCCAUUUCCCCAAUAUAUUUCUUACAAAAAUAGCGGUCUGUAUAAUGCUUGUCAUAAAGUAUCCACAGAUGUCAUUAUAUUUGAAGGACUUUGUUUUAAAAAAUGAACAGGCUACCAUAGAGCAAGGUUGUUUAUUGUUUAAAUAACAGAAAUUCAUUUUGAGUGCAACAAGACUUCGUUUCUUUGUCUUUUAUCUUUCUACUUUCCAACCCCCCCCCCCCCCCCCUUUCGUGUUCGUCUUUUUUCUCCGAGGAAUGAUCAAACAGUUUCUAUCUGAACAUUAAAAUACAUGUACUUUAAACCUCAUCUUUUUAAGUUCAUCCCUUCCCCUCACACUACCCCCCCCCCC